This 374-nucleotide long non-coding RNA is filed under the name Elaeis guineensis (African oil palm). Its description in RNAcentral is "long non-coding RNA (EGUI_LNC006014)". Lineage: Eukaryota; Viridiplantae; Streptophyta; Magnoliopsida; Arecales; Arecaceae. The record is from RNAcentral.
AAGACUCGAAGGCAAAGCCGAAGGGACGAUCAGGACGGGAGAUAAAAUGAAACCGGAUUUGCCUCGAUCGGAUUUUAUCGGGUCCGAUGGUUUGCGGUCCAACUGGCCGGUUCACUCGAAUUUUAUCGAUUUUUAAGCGCAUCUGGUUCAAUUAGGCAACCGGUCCGGUCCCAUGGCUGGAUCAUCAGGUUUUCGGAUGGACCGGUCGGGCCGGGCCGGGCCGGGUUUAACAUUGCAUAAAAGGACUCCGGUUGCAUGGGCCCAAUCGGAAGUGCACAACAGAGACAAUAACGCUUUACUUCCAGCAGCAUAGGGCGUGGACCCUAAUUUGUGAUAGCGUGGCUCAAUCAAAAGUGAGUAAUGGAAUUGGUAGC